This 494-nucleotide ribosomal RNA is filed under the name uncultured bacterium. RNAcentral's name for it is "partial 16S ribosomal RNA". It matches the Rfam family "Bacterial small subunit ribosomal RNA", at positions 28 to 507 of the family's 1533-position model. The record is from RNAcentral.
GACGAACGCUGGCGGCGUGCUUAACACAUGCAAGUCGAACGGAAAGGCCUGCCUUCCCUUGUGGAUUGCGGGUACUCGAGUGGCGAACGGGUGAGUAACACGUGAGUGAUCUGCCCCCAACUUGGGUAUAAGCCUGGGAAACUGGGUCUAAUUCCCGAUAGGACUGCAGGGUGGUGCCUGUGGUGGAAAACGAUUUUCUAGUGGUUGGGGAUGAGCUCGCGGCCUAUCAGCUUGUUGGUGGGGUAAUGGCCUACCAAGGCGGCGACGGGUAGCCGGCCUGGGAGGGUGGACGGCCACAUUGGGACUGAGAUACGGCCCAGACUCCUACGGGAGGCAGCAGUGGGGAAUAUUGCACAAUGGGCGGAAGCCUGAUGCAGCGACGCCGCGUGGGGGAUGACGGCCUUCGGGUUGUAAACUCCUUUCGACCGCGAGGAAGCCACCUGGUUGGAAGGGUGGUGACGGUAGUGGUAGAAGAAGCACCGGCUAACUACGUG